GCUCUUGUAGCUCAGUGGUAGAGCGCAUCCUUGGUAAGGAUGAGGUCGGCGGUUCAAAUCCGCUCAAGAGCUCCA
RNAcentral lists this transfer RNA (75 nucleotides) under Sulfuriroseicoccus oceanibius. RNAcentral's name for it is "Verrucomicrobiales bacterium T37 tRNA-Thr". It matches the Rfam family "tRNA". Rfam says of the family: Transfer RNA (tRNA) molecules are approximately 80 nucleotides in length. Their secondary structure includes four short double-helical elements and three loops (D, anti-codon, and T loops). Further hydrogen bonds mediate the characteristic L-shaped molecular structure. tRNAs have two regions of fundamental functional importance: the anti-codon, which is responsible for specific mRNA codon recognition, and the 3' end, to which the tRNAs corresponding amino acid is attached (by aminoacyl-tRNA synthetases). tRNAs cope with the degeneracy of the genetic code in two manners: having more than one tRNA (with a specific anti-codon) for a particular amino acid; and 'wobble' base-pairing, i.e. permitting non-standard base-pairing at the 3rd anti-codon position. The record is from RNAcentral. Lineage: Bacteria; Pseudomonadati; Verrucomicrobiota; Verrucomicrobiia; Verrucomicrobiales; Verrucomicrobiaceae.